AUUGAACGCUGGCGGCAUGCUUUACACAUGCAAGUCGGACGGCAGCACAGAGAAGCUUGCUUCUUGGGUGGCGAGUGGCGAACGGGUGAGUAAUAUAUCGGAACGUACCGAGUAAUGGGGGAUAACUAAUCGAAAGAUUAGCUAAUACCGCAUAUUCUCUGAGGAGGAAAGCAGGGGACCUUCGGGCCUUGCGUUAUUCGAGCGGCCGAUAUCUGAUUAGCUAGUUGGUGGGGUAAAGGCCUACCAAGGCGACGAUCAGUAGCGGGUCUGAGAGGAUGAUCCGCCACACUGGGACUGAGACACGGCCCAGACUCCUACGGGAGGCAGCAGUGGGGAAUUUUGGACUAUGGGCGCAAGCCUGAUCCAGCCAUGCCGCGUGUCUGAAGAAGGCCUUCGGGUUGUAAAGGACUUUUGUCAGGGAAGAAAAGGCUGUUGCUAAUAUCGACAGCUGAUGACGGUACCUGAAGAAUAAGCACCGGCUAACUACGUG
RNAcentral lists this ribosomal RNA (490 nucleotides) under uncultured bacterium. RNAcentral describes it as "partial 16S ribosomal RNA". It matches the Rfam family "Bacterial small subunit ribosomal RNA", at positions 30 to 507 of the family's 1533-position model. The record is from RNAcentral.